GCCGGGGUGGUGGAACUCGGUAGACACACGGGGCUUAAAACUCCGUGGGGGUUCUCCCCCGUGCGGGUUCGAGUCCCGCCCCCGGCA
Molecule: transfer RNA, 87 nt
Filed under: Deltaproteobacteria bacterium
Lineage: Bacteria; Pseudomonadati; Myxococcota; Myxococcia
Also listed under: 1 other name
Description: tRNA-Leu
Rfam family: tRNA
About the family: Transfer RNA (tRNA) molecules are approximately 80 nucleotides in length. Their secondary structure includes four short double-helical elements and three loops (D, anti-codon, and T loops).
Source: RNAcentral